Molecule: ribosomal RNA, 253 nt
Filed under: uncultured bacterium
Lineage: Bacteria
Description: partial 16S ribosomal RNA
Rfam family: Bacterial small subunit ribosomal RNA
Source: RNAcentral
UACGUAGGGUGCGAGCGUUAAUCGGAAUUACUGGGCGUAAAGCGUGCGCAGGCGGUUUGUUAAGUCUGAUGUGAAAGCCCCGGGCUCAACCUGGGAACUGCAUUGGAAACCGGCAAGCUCGAGUAUGGCAGAGGGGGGUGGAAUUCCGCGUGUAGCAGUGAAAUGCGUAGAGAUGCGGAGGAACACCGAUGGCGAAGGCAGCCCCCUGGGCCAAUACUGACGCUCAGGCACGAAAGCGUGGGGAGCAAACAGG